Canis lupus familiaris (dog) is the source of this 3693-nucleotide long non-coding RNA. RefSeq lists it as uncharacterized. NCBI's taxonomy places the organism in Eukaryota, Metazoa, Chordata, Mammalia, Carnivora, Canidae. The record is from RefSeq and is a predicted model, not a curated record. The transcript is spliced from 3 exons.
CCGGGGCAUGCACGCCAGAGGCAGGAGCUGGGCCUGGGCACGGGGGCAGGAGGAGACCCAGGCCGGCUCUGCCCCUCCCUCUCCGGGGCCUGGCUUCCACAUGUGGAGGGGGUGAUGCUAGCGGCGUGCCCCACCCUGGCUCCCGGGGCUCCAAGAAGAUUUCAUGAGCACGCACUUCCCUUGAGUGCUCAGCGUAUAGCUCACUCUCAGGGAAUGGCGCCCUUCCAGCCUGGCUCUCCAAGCUCACGCAUUUUUAAAUUCACCCAAACACAGUCAAGCUGAACAUAUGGUUUUGUAACCUAACGAGAUUGUCCUUAUUUUUCCAUAUCAUUACAUUUUCUUCCCGACAUCAUUUCUAAGCAUGUUCCAUUGUAUAACAUAUCCGAUCGGUUCUCUUUAAGAUUUCUAGUUGGGGUAAAAUACAUAUCAUGCAGUUUGCCAUUGUAACUUUGCUUAGUGUACUGUUUGUUGGUGUUAGAUACUCCACACGAUUGUGCAACCAGUCUCCAGAACGUUGUUACCUUCCUCGACUGGAAACCAAUCCUUUUUUGAUAGUUAGGUCAUUUACUUAAAAAAAUAUAUAUAUUCAAAGUGGAUGUCUUUCCAUACGUGUUUCUGAAGCUAAGCGAUGGGAGUCAUCUGAGCCAUGGCCUACUCCAAUGACUCUUUUCAGAUAAAUUCUUAGAAGUGGGAUUUCUAGGCCAAAGGACGGGCCCUCAUGUAAACUCUCCAUCGUGGAACAUGUCACACAAACAAAAGCAGAGUGAACGUGCGUCACUGGCUGCACUCUUGUUAGCUUUUCUAUCUGUCCCACCGGGCACCCAUAAACCCAUUCUGGCAUCAAAGCGCCCUGCCUGUAGCAGUCACUCAUGCCCAUUCUCACCGUGGCCUGGUUCAAGUUACAACCGCUUGACAACUGGUUUGCAAAACUCCUUGAUGGCUAACAAUCAUCUCCCACAAACCAGUAGUCGUUGGCUCGACCAUACCCUGCUCCAAUUCACUAUCCCUCAUUUUCUUUUGCAAGGGGCAUGGCGUGGCAGGGGGGUGGGGGUGCGGCAAUUGAGUACCUUAAAGGAAAUCCCAGAGGGUAUCAGUUUACUCAUAAAUAGUUCAGUGCAAAAUCUGACAGAUGAAGACUUUAACAAAAAUACACAGUCUGUGCUCCGCUUCCUUCAAUCGGCUCCAAAAUGUCUUUUUUACAGUUUGGUUUGUUCAACGUAGGAUCCAGUUGCGUUUGGCUCUUUCCAUUCUAGAACAUUUCGGUUCCCUUCAUUCUCCUCGCCCACUCCCCGCCCCAAGUUGUUUAUAGAAGAAACUGGGUCAUUUAUCUUACAGAAUUUUCCAUGUACGAGAGCUGGCUGGGUUUCCUCCAUCACGUGAUCCUCCAUCAUGGUUUUGUCGUCUACACUGGCAUCCUAUCACAUCGCUUUCAGGGGCUGAGCCUCCGGGCCUCCUGUCGACAUGCCCAGGAUAACCGGUGGGCUUAGCUGCUAUCAGUCGAAUUCCUUCUUUGGAAAGUUCCUUGCCGACCCUCCGCCUCAUCGAUUUAGUAGCCUUUGGGGAUUGUUCCUUAGAUCGACUAUUUCAUCAGAGGCUGCCAGAGAGACUUUUCAAACACCAUCAUCUCUUCUGCAUUUAUCAGCUCUGGUCCUCUCUUAAAAAACAUUCCCUAAUACCGACACAGUUAUCCUGAAAUGUAGUCUGCAGAGGAAAGGCCCAGAUGCUCAGUUCUUAACCAGUUUUCAGAAUAGGUGGGCUCCCCAAGAGAUUUGUGGUAGUUUCCCAAUAUCACUGUGAUCCCACUGAUUAUUACAUAUUUAAUGUACUUAUUGAUUUCCAAAUGAUCCCACUGGGACUAUGGGCUUGGAGGCCCUUCAUGUCAGCUCCUGUGUCAUUUUGAUGGGACCCCCCACUAAUGCUUGAUAACAUUUUGCUUUUAAGCACAAGAUGUCCCAGCUCAUCUUGGCCCUGGGAUGCACUGUUGCCCUGUAACAGCCUGGGUCUCUUAGUGGCGGUCUAGCUCUGCAUGUACCAUAUGCGCCCUGGUCACACUGAACGUCCCCAGGGACCCCUGCAGAGCCUGGCUUCUUUUCCAAGCUGCAUCGUGCUCCAUAGCGUGGGGAAGCCCAGCUUACUCAGCCAGGCUGUAUGGGUCCUGGAGGAUGUUGGGGAGUGGCCAUGGCGGCCACAGAGCCUGUCUCCCACGUCUGAGAUACAGGAGGCCCCUGGCUCGGCCUGGCUCUCGGAGCCCCUCCAGCAGCAGGCAGCCUGGUGGCGUGAUGGGAAGGGUGCCGGCGCAGGCCAGGCGCCCAGGGCUGUCAGCAGCCACGGCUCUGACACCAGGGCCACGUCCAGCUGGAGUGUCUCAGCCUCGCUCUGCAGAUACAUGCACGCCGAGGGGCAGGACACCCGCGACGGGCGCCAGUCCUGAGGCUCGGCCCGGCCAGCAGACGCACACGCCGCUGGCAGCUCCGUUGGCGCCCCAGCCUGACCUCCGUCCACGGUUAACUCCGAACAGGCCCUACGAGUGACAUGGCCUCCCUUGCCCCCUACCCCUCCUGCCACCCCUCAGCCCUGGCUGUGCCCACUCCCUGGAUGCCCUUCUCUCUGCCCUUCCAGGGCUCACACUGCCAUCGGGGCACCCAGAGCAUGCCGCCUCCUCCUCCAGGAAGCCUUCUUGAACUUCUCAAACCUCGAAAUGCUAAUGCUGGCGUGUCCCACACCUUCUCUUAGUAGUGGGUCCCGGGGUCAGAGAGGCUGAGGCCAGUGUGGGGAGCAGGCAUGGCUCAUCCAUGACCUCACACAUGAGUUAGCAGAAAAAGAGCGGCCAGUCGCUUGCUUCUGUGACUCUCACACCUGCCAUCCUUUCUGGCCUGUCACCUUCCAGACCUCCUUCUGGUGCCUGGGGACUCGGCCCAGCCAGGCACCAUGGUGACAAGUCUGCGGGGCCCUUGUCCUGCCCAAGAUGGGAGGCAGGCGAGGAAAGCCCUGCCAUAUGCUUGCUGGUCACCCUGAGUCAGAGGCGUCUGUCUCUCGUAAUCGGGCAUGGUGGGGCUCACACACCAAUUCCCGCAGCUCUGGGAGUGAAGGGUCGACGUUUACAUCUUUAACCAGCCUAGCCUGGCAGCCACGGGGAUGGCUGAGAUGCGGGAUAGAGUCUGAGGAUCGCAAAUGGGAACAGCGCCAGCCACAGGUGCAAGCGAUACGGCAUUGCCCGGGGUGUGCAGAGCAGAGCUGCAGACAGGCAUGUGCACGCUCACCCAGUGGCAGGGGCGCAAGGAGGGGGGUGGGAGGGGACCGGGCUGACCCGGUGGCCCCUGGACACUUGUGUCCCUAGCCUGGCUAUGCUGAGGACCCAGGAGACCCACCGAGGGCUUUGGGAGGCAGGGCUGGGGGCAGGCGGGAUGGCACUGAGGGGCCUCCGGGAAGGACGGAAGGGAGGGAGGGGCGCUGGCAGGGAAGGGGACAGCUGUGCGGGGAAGGACAGCAAAGCAGAGGCUGGGAGGCAGAGAGGUGGUGGCAGGCCCCGCAACAGGCCGACAGCCCGACAGCCCGGUGGAGCCCGCUGACACUGCCCGUCCUCGGCUCUCCCUGAAGUCUUUGCCGCCCUGCCAGCCAAGACGCUUUGGCGGGGAUGGUGCUGAAUUGUUAAUCUGCCCCCUGGGACCAUAAACGGUUUUAAAGCUUUAUAAA